CAGCAGCCGCGGUAAUACGGGGGAUGCGAGCGUUAUCCGGAUUUAUUGGGUUUAAAGGGCGCGUAGGCGGGACGGCAAGUCAGCGGUAAAAGACUGCAGCUAAACUGUAGCACGCCGUUGAAACUGUUGACCUCGAGACGAGACGAGGGAGGCGGAACAAGUGAAGUAGCGGUGAAAUGCAUAGAUAUCACUUGGAACCCCGAUAGCGAAGGCAGCUUCCCAGGCUCGUUCUGACGCUGAUGCGCGAGAGCGUGGGUAGCGAACAGGAUUAGAUACCCUGGUAGUCCACGCCGUAAACGAUGCUCACUGGAUCUUGGCGAUACACGGCCAGGGUUCAAGCGAAAGUAUUAAGUGAGCCACCUGGGGAGU
This 369-nucleotide ribosomal RNA is filed under the name uncultured bacterium. RNAcentral's name for it is "bacterial SSU rRNA". It matches the Rfam family "Bacterial small subunit ribosomal RNA", at positions 509 to 881 of the family's 1533-position model. The record is from RNAcentral.